Arabidopsis thaliana (thale cress) is the source of this 592-nucleotide long non-coding RNA. RefSeq annotates it as other RNA. NCBI's taxonomy places the organism in Eukaryota, Viridiplantae, Streptophyta, Magnoliopsida, Brassicales, Brassicaceae. The record is from RefSeq. The transcript has 2 exons.
AUUUAAGAUCUAGAAGUUGGUUUAUUUAUGCAUAAACAUUUCAAUUAACUCAGUUUCAUUUGUAUGUUUGUGAUGUUUAUGCUGUCUUGAUUCUGUCUUCCUCCUUUUCACGCUGUCUCAAAGGAGAAAAGUAAUAAGGAGAUCACGAGGGAGAUUCAAGCUAUAAUGAGACAAGUUGCUUCCAGCAUAACUUGCUUGCCUUGUCUCCAUGAAACAUGUAAGAGAGAGAGACAUUAAUCGGCUUGGCGGUUGGAUAAGGUGUGUUUGUUGUGUUGGGAGCAUUUACUGAUACCGAUGUGGCUGUACCGUUCACCUGGAUCAAGAGAGUGAUUGACAAGGUCGAACACACUCAUUUCAUACAAGAACAAUAAAAGGGAUGAAGAAUGACUCUGAUACCACACACAAACACUCGCUCGUCUGAUUGUGAACAAUUUAUUCACUUCUCUUAUGUUCUGUUCUUACAAAUGUAACAGACCAAAAAUCUAUUUUGAGGUCUUCUUGGUCUGUACGGUAAAUGCCAGUUAUGAUAUUUCAUAUUUGAGCAAGUACAUGAAAAAAAGAAGAAAUGUAUAAAGAGAAUGAGAUCAUAUCU